RNAcentral lists this transfer RNA (77 nucleotides) under Planctomycetota bacterium. RNAcentral's name for it is "tRNA-Ile". It matches the Rfam family "tRNA". From Rfam's summary of the family: Transfer RNA (tRNA) molecules are approximately 80 nucleotides in length. Their secondary structure includes four short double-helical elements and three loops (D, anti-codon, and T loops). Lineage: Bacteria; Pseudomonadati; Planctomycetota. The record is from RNAcentral.
GGGCCCUUAGCUCAAUUGGUAAGAGCAGCUGGCUCAUAACCGGUUGGUUGCAGGUUCGAGUCCUGCAGGGCCCACCA